Long non-coding RNA from Salvia splendens (bonfire salvia), 244 nucleotides. RefSeq lists it as uncharacterized. The transcript has 2 exons. NCBI's taxonomy places the organism in Eukaryota, Viridiplantae, Streptophyta, Magnoliopsida, Lamiales, Lamiaceae. The record is from RefSeq and is a predicted model, not a curated record.
UCACGAUUGGAGUGAAGAAUUGAUGAGGGGAGAGGCGGCGCCCGAUUCAGGAUAUCCGAACCGGAGAGAUAAUUGGGCGUGGCACUGAACGUGAUGGGCUUUACUAUGUGGAUGAGAUAGCUCAAAAAGGGACUGCCAUGUUAACUCACGGAUCACCUGACAGGAAAGCUUGGCUUUGGCAUCGGCGCUUGGGUCAUCCAUCUAUCGGUUACUUAAAAUUAUUAUUUCCUAGUAUUAUUCCUAA